CUGGCGGCAGGCCUAACACAUGCAAGUCGAGCGCUCACUUCGGUGGGAGCGGCGGACGGGUUAGUAACGCGUGGGAAUAUACCCGGUACUAAGGAAUAGCCUUUGGAAACGAAGAGUAAUACCUUAUACGCCCUUCGGGGGAAAGAUUUAUCGGUAUCGGAUUAGCCCGCGUAAGAUUAGAUAGUUGGUGGGGUAAUGGCCUACCAAGUCUACGAUCUUUAGCUGGUUUUAGAGGAUGAUCAGCAACACUGGGACUGAGACACGGCCCAGACUCCUACGGGAGGCAGCAGUGGGGAAUCUUAGACAAUGGGCGCAAGCCUGAUCUAGCCAUGCCGCGUGAGUGAAGAAGGCCUUAGGGUCGUAAAACUCUUUCGCCAGAGAUGAUAAUGACAGUAUCUGGUAAAGAAACCCCGGCUAACUCCGUGCCAGCAGCCGCGGUAAUACGGAGGGGGUUAGCGUUGUUCGGAAUUACUGGGCGUAAAGCGCACGUAGGCGGACUGGAAAGUUGGGGGUGAAAUCCCGGGGCUCAACCUCGGAACUGCCUCCAAAACUAUCAGUCUAGAGUUCGAGAGAGGUGAGUGGAAUUCCAAGUGUAGAGGUGAAAUUCGUAGAUAUUUGGAGGAACACCAGUGGCGAAAGCGGCUCACUGGCUCGAUACUGACGCUGAGGUGCGAAAGUGUGGGGAGCAAACAGGAUUAGAUACCCUGGUAGUCCACACCGUAAACGAUGAAUGCCAGUCGUCGGCAAGUAUACUUGUCGGUGACACACCUAACGGAUUAAGCAUUCCGCCUGGGGAGUACGGUCGCAAGAUUAAAACUCAAAAGGAAUUGACGGGG
This 836-nucleotide ribosomal RNA is filed under the name uncultured marine bacterium. RNAcentral's name for it is "bacterial SSU rRNA". It matches the Rfam family "Bacterial small subunit ribosomal RNA", at positions 36 to 918 of the family's 1533-position model. The record is from RNAcentral.